Molecule: transfer RNA, 71 nt
Filed under: Ipomoea nil (Japanese morning glory)
Lineage: Eukaryota; Viridiplantae; Streptophyta; Magnoliopsida; Solanales; Convolvulaceae
Rfam family: tRNA
About the family: Transfer RNA (tRNA) molecules are approximately 80 nucleotides in length.
Source: Rfam by way of RNAcentral
GGAUCCGUGGCGCAAUGGUAGCGCGUUCGAUCCAGAUAAAAAGGUUGUGUGUUCGAUUCACGUCGGGUUCA